CGAACGUAUCACCCAAGACAACUUUACGGAGUUGACGAUUGACGGAGCGAAGCGACGUCAAAGCGUUCAUUAAAGUCGAGUUGGCUUAGGGAUACGUUCGUUGGGUAGGGGAGCGUUCUGUAAGCCUGUGAAGGUGUGUCGUGAGGCAUGCUGGAGGUAUCAGAAGUGCGAAUGCUGACAUAAGUAACGAUAAAGCGGGUGAAAAGCCCGCUCGCCGGAAGACCAAGGGUUCCUGUCCAACGUUAAUCGGGGCAGGGUGAGUCGACCCCUAAGGCGAGGCCGAAAGGCGUAGUCGAUGGGAAACGGGUUAAUAUUCCCGUACUUGGUGUUACUGCGAAGGGGGGACGGAGAAGGCUAUGUUGGCCGGGCGACGGUUGUCCCGGUUUAAGCGUGUAGGUGUGUGUUCCAGGUAAAUCCGGUUCACUUUAACACUGAGGCGUGACGACGAGGCACUACGGUGCUGAAGCAACAAAUGCCCUGCUUCCAGGAAAAGCCUCUAAGCAUCAGGUAACAUCAAAUCGUACCCCAAACCGACACAGGUGGUCAGGUAGAGAAUACCAAGGCGCUUGAGAGAACUCGGGUGAAGGAACUAGGCAAAAUGGUGCCGUAACUUCGGGAGAAGGCACGCUGACACGUAGGUGAAGUGAUUUACUCAUGGAGCUGAAGUCAGUCGAAGAUACCAGCUGGCUGCAACUGUUUAUUAAAAACACAGCACUGUGCAAACACGAAAGUGGACGUAUACGGUGUGACGCCUGCCCGGUGCCGGAAGGUUAAUUGAUGGGGUCAGCGCAAGCGAAGCUCCUGAUCGAAGCCCCGGUAAACGGCGGCCGUAACUAUAACGGUCCUAAGGUAGCGAAAUUCCUUGUCGGGUAAGUUCCGACCUGCACGAAUGGCGUAAUGAUGGCCAGGCUGUCUCCACCCGAGACUCAGUGAAAUUGAACUCGCUGUGAAGAUGCAGUGUACCCGCGGCAAGACGGAAAGACCCCGUGAACCUUUACUAUAGCUUGACACUGAACAUUGAGCCUUGAUGUGUAGGAUAGGUGGGAGGCUUUGAAGUGUGGACGCCAGUCUGCAUGGAGCCGACCUUGAAAUACCACCCUUUAAUGUUUGAUGUUCUAACGUGGACCCGUAAUCCGGGUUGCGGACAGUGUCUGGUGGGUAGUUUGACUGGGGCGGUCUCCUCCUAAAGAGUAACGGAGGAGCACGAAGGUUGGCUAAUCCUGGUCGGACAUCAGGAGGUUAGUGCAAUGGCAUAAGCCAGCUUGACUGCGAGCGUGACGGCGCGAGCAGGUGCGAAAGCAGGUCAUAGUGAUCCGGUGGUUCUGAAUGGAAGGGCCAUCGCUCAACGGAUAAAAGGUACUCCGGGGAUAACAGGCUGAUACCGCCCAAGAGUUCAUAUCGACGGCGGUGUUUGGCACCUCGAUGUCGGCUCAUCACAUCCUGGGGCUGAAGUAGGUCCCAAGGGUAUGGCUGUUCGCCAUUUAAAGUGGUACGCGAGCUGGGUUUAGAACGUCGUGAGACAGUUCGGUCCCUAUCUGCCGUGGGCGCUGGAGAACUGAGGGGGGCUGCUCCUAGUACGAGAGGACCGGAGUGGACGCAUCACUGGUGUUCGGGUUGUCAUGCCAAUGGCACUGCCCGGUAGCUAAAUGCGGAAGAGAUAAGUGCUGAAAGCAUCUAAGCACGAAACUUGCCCCGAGAUGAGUUCUCCCUGAGACUUAGAGUCUCCUGAAGGAACGUUGAAGACGACGACGUUGAUAGGCCGGGUGUGUAAGCGCAGCGAUGCGUUGAGCUAACCGGUACUAAUGAACCGUGAGGCUUAACCUUACA
Molecule: ribosomal RNA, 1827 nt
Filed under: Salmonella enterica subsp. enterica serovar Typhimurium
Lineage: Bacteria; Pseudomonadati; Pseudomonadota; Gammaproteobacteria; Enterobacterales; Enterobacteriaceae
Description: partial 23S ribosomal RNA
Rfam family: Bacterial large subunit ribosomal RNA
Source: RNAcentral